Molecule: ribosomal RNA, 550 nt
Filed under: uncultured bacterium
Lineage: Bacteria
Description: bacterial SSU rRNA
Rfam family: Bacterial small subunit ribosomal RNA
Source: RNAcentral
AGGGAAUAGAUACCCGGGUAGUCCACGCCCUAAACGAUGUCGACUGGUUGUUGGGGGUUUGACACUCUCAGUAAACGAAAGCUAAACGCGUGAAAGUCGACCGCCUGGGGAGUACGGCCGCAAGGUUAAAACUCAAAGGAAUUGACGGGGACCCGCACAAGCGGUGGAUUAUGUGGAUUAAUUCGAUGCAACGCGAAAAACCUUACCUACCCUUGACAUGUCCGGGAGCCUGCUGAGAGGCGGGUGUGCUCGAAAGAGAACCGGAACACAGGUGCUGCAUGGCUGUCGUCAGCUCGUGUCGUGAGAUGUUGGGUUAAGUCCCGCAACGAGCGCAACCCUUGCCAUUAGUUGCCACCCGUAAGGGGGCACUCUAAUGGGACUGCCGGUGACAAACCGGAGGAAGGUGGGGAUGACGUCAAGUCCUCAUGGCCCUUAUGGGUAGGGCUUCACACGUAAUACAAUGGCGCGUACAGAGGGUUGCCAAGGAGCGAUCUGGAGCCAAUCCCGUAAAGCGCGUCGUAGUCCGGAUUGCAGUCUGCAACUCGACUGC